GCGUUGUAAGAAAGGAGAGAAAUUAACACUUUUUUCGACAAUGACAGAAUUGAGUUCUUUUGUUUAUACAACACAUAUAGGACUCUUGUCGCUCUACUUU
RNAcentral lists this non-coding RNA (100 nucleotides) under Mytilus galloprovincialis (Mediterranean mussel). Lineage: Eukaryota; Metazoa; Mollusca; Bivalvia; Mytilida; Mytilidae. The record is from RNAcentral.